This 227-nucleotide long non-coding RNA is filed under the name Vigna radiata. Its description in RNAcentral is "long non-coding RNA (VRAD_LNC007088)". The record is from RNAcentral. Lineage: Eukaryota; Viridiplantae; Streptophyta; Magnoliopsida; Fabales; Fabaceae.
AGCAGGAAUCUGAUGCUAAUAUGAAAGAAAACUUUGUGGGAAGGCAACCCUGAUUAAUAAUGAAGGUGGAAAGCUAGGUUGAAACUAACAUUAUGUUGCUUUCUAUAUUAAUAUCUGUUUGAUUUUGUUUGUGUUGGUAAUCUUCUCAUAAUCAUCAUACUAUAUAAGUCACAGGAAAUUUUGUGAUGUAAAGCAUGCACAAAUUUGUGAGUUCUUUUCCUUCCAAC